This 481-nucleotide ribosomal RNA is filed under the name uncultured bacterium. RNAcentral's name for it is "bacterial SSU rRNA". It matches the Rfam family "Bacterial small subunit ribosomal RNA", at positions 28 to 506 of the family's 1533-position model. The record is from RNAcentral.
GAUGAACGCUAGCGGCAGGCCUAACACAUGCAAGUCGAGGGGCAGCACAGGUAGCAAUACUGGGUGGCGACCGGCGGAUGGGUGCGUAACGCGUAUGCAACCUACCAUUGAUUGGGGCAUAGCCCGAAGAAAUUCGGAUUAAUACUCCAUAAUAUUCAUCAAAGGCAUCUUUUAUGAAUUAAAGCUUUUGCGAUCAAUGAUGGGCAUGCGUGACAUUAGUUAGUUGGUGAGGUAACGGCUACACCAAAACGAUGAUGUCUAGGGGUUCUGAGAGGAUUAUCCCCAACUGGUACUGAGACACGGACCAGACUCCUACGGGAGGCAGCAGUGAGGAAUAUUGGUCAAUGGACGCAAGUCUGAACCAGCCAUGCCGCGUGCAGGAUGACGGCCCUAUGGGUUUAAACUGACUUUUCCACGGAAGAACCCUCCGACGUGUCGAGACUGGACGUACCGUGGAAUAAGCAGUCGGACUAACGUCCGU